RNAcentral lists this long non-coding RNA (1526 nucleotides) under Vigna radiata. Its description in RNAcentral is "long non-coding RNA (VRAD_LNC017444)". The record is from RNAcentral. Lineage: Eukaryota; Viridiplantae; Streptophyta; Magnoliopsida; Fabales; Fabaceae.
GCUUAAAAACACCAACCCAGUAGAAACUACUGCAUACAAAAACAAAAAAAUUUAUAACACCAAACGAAAGUCCCAUCUCCUGCUACAACCAAUUAAACAAUAACAUCCUUUCUAGUCCAACUCUAAUCUAAUUCAACAGACUUUCGCACCAUCCCAUUGUGUAAUCCAACUUAUUGCAGUGAUAUUCAUUGAGAUAACAGUGGUGGAAGCAAGACGAAAUCAGACCCAACUAGCCACCAAGGUACACAACCAUAUUAUGGAAGAUCAAAACCACGAUUAUACGUUCUAAAACAACAACAAUGAUCAGAUACAUUCAUUUCAUGGGUAUCCCACGCUAAGCACACCAAAUAAAAUAAGCAACAUCAUCUCCUUACACACACAUGUACUCAUUCUCAUAAUUUACAGAAUUAUGAAUAAACACAACAACAAAGUAAUGUCAACCCCCCUUACGGCACAAAAUACCCUUUAAAACCAAUGAUACAUGCAAAACACAAAUACACAACAUGAGAAAUUUGGUCCCUCCCCUUACCUCACUUCCCAGCGGUUAAGCAUCAACCUUGGAUUCCUAGCCACCUCCAAGUGCUUUCCUUUUCAAUGGUUGGUCUCCAAACCCUUCAUUCUCACUUGCUUCACUCACGGACAUUCACUAGAGAAGAUUUGGUUUUCCACUCUCUCACAACUCUCACUAUUUCUACUGUUGGAUAUAGGGUUAGGGUUUUUUCUUCUUUUUCUCCCAUGGUUUCUCUCACGGUUUUCCUCUAACCCGGUUUGAGGGUUCCUCUCCUUUCACUUAACCUCCCAAAAAUAUCUCCCCCCUCUUUCUUGAUGUUGCCCUCUUUUUUAUUUUAUUUUAUACUUUUCUAAGACCCAAACCAUUCCAACUAUCCGAUAUUCUCUCCCCAAGACUCGUUGUACAUAACUCCCACUAGCUGACCAAAAUCUCCUCUCUUGACAUUUUUCCAUUCCUACUACAUUAACCCUAUCCUUUAAGAUUAAAAAUUAUGUUUUGAAAAAUAUUAAAAAUACCCUUAAUAGAGAAUGAGAAGAACAAGACCUUCUCUAGAAGCAUAUCAAAUUUAAACUUAUUUGCGUCCCUGUGUGCUAUAUGAUGAAAGCCAAAAUCCUUAUAUAACUUUUUCUCUCUUAGCCCAAAAAAAAUAUGACCCAUGCCAAGAAUAAUUAAAGAGUUUCUUUCUCCCUCACGUAAAUACCUCUACAUGCCAAAAAGAACAAAAUAAAAUAUAACCCAGAAAUAAAUGUUCUCCAAUUUCUCUCUCCUAAGGUCAAAGGGUCAAAACAAAAGAAAAGAAAGAAUUAAAUCUCUUUCAUCCUAAAUGCUACAACCACUGUCUCACACUUUCUUCCCUCCAUUAAUGCUUAAGAAACCAAUGAGCAUGUGACAUUAAGCACCCAAGGCAAUGGUAGCAAGAUUUUGACACAGGUUCAUAGGAUUUCAAGCACAUACACAAACCAUUAGGACAGUGUUAUCAAACUGAAACUAUAACACGAUUAAUUACAUUUCAACU